UUAAAAGGCAAAGCACGCGAAAGCGUGUGGCGCAAAGCCAUGAGUCUAACGCCAUAAGGGCUAUGAUCGUCAGGUUGC
This 78-nucleotide non-coding RNA is filed under the name human gut metagenome. Its description in RNAcentral is "Cyclic di-GMP-I riboswitch". It matches the Rfam family "c-di-GMP-I riboswitch aptamer", at positions 6 to 83 of the family's 87-position model. Rfam says of the family: GEMM was predicted in a large-scale screen for bacterial structured RNA regulatory elements. Genes associated with GEMM are involved in a diverse array of functions, including chemotaxis regulation, signal transduction, secretion and chitin. The record is from RNAcentral.